UAUUGACAUUCAAUUCCAAACACUCGGUCGGGCACGCGUGUCUUUGCGCCUUUUUGCCUUUCUCCUUUUUUUUUUUACUCUUUAAACACAACUUUACAUUUUUCGACAAUUUCGUGGCGCGUACAGGCAACACAGAAAAAAGAAAACAAGACAAAUCGUUGGCCCUGCUGUGGAUGUGUCAAACGCCAGUGUUAUUCAUGUGUGACACAACAUAGAAAUAAAACAUACAACAACAUACACCUUGCAGCUGGAACAACAUAGGAAUUAGGCGUCGCACUGGUCGAGUCGAGGGAAGGUCCUGGGAAAGUGAACAAUACUACAUACAUAUAGCCACUCCGCAGCGAGAUACAGGGUGCCAUGUGGAGUCCCACACACUGCAAUGUAACGGUGCAGCGGGCGAAGGGCCUGCUCACCAAGGGCAAGAACGGCACCAACAACUGCUUCGUCACAAUCGCCCUGGGCAAGGAGAAGUACCAGACGUCGGUCAAGGACAAGUCCGAGGCUAAUGUCAACUGGAACGAGGAGUGUGAACUAAAAAUCCCCGAUCAGGGCAACCGGGCAGAGCUGACGCUCACCUGCUUGCACCGCAAUAAUCUGGGCAUCGAUGAGUUCCUGGGGCAGGCGACGCUGCCGCUCAACGAGAUGGACGUGUACGACAGGCCGCGCUCCAAGUGGUUCAAGCUGGAGAGCAAGCCGGGCAAGGAGAAGAAGAACAAGGAGCGCGGCGAGCUGGAGGUGCGCAUCGGGUUCGUGGUCAAGUCCGGCUCCCUCACGGACCUCAGCAAGAAGGACAAGCACAAGUCUUCCAUUGGGCAGCUGGCCAGCUCCGUCGGCGGCAGCCUGCUCUCCAUCGGCAACGGGGAGAAGCGCAAGAGCAUAAAGAAGCUGGCGGGGUCGCUCAGCUCCAAGCUGCAUCUGCGCAGCAAGAAGAAGCACGCGGACGCCGGCGGCGACGACAACAGCUCCUUCAGCGGCUCCUUUGCCAGCAUCGGCACCCCGAACAGCUCCACCGGCGGCCCAGGGGGUAGCGGCCGCCGCCGGGGCCAGCGGGCGGGCGAGGCCGAUCCCGGCGUGAUCAGCGAGGACGAGGAUGAGUUCGUGUUCGACAAUCUGUCGCACAAGAGCUCCGGCAGCUCCCUGAACAUCCAGCGGUCGGGACUCCAGCCGCCACCCACCACCACGGGGGGAGGAGCGCCCAAUUUCGCGCCCCGCAAUCCCUCGCCCCUGCUGAGCAAUGGGAACGGUGGUGGGGGCCUGGGCAACGGCCUGGGGGGCAUCGGGAACGGCGUGGGAAAGGUCUAUCAUGGAGGUAAGCCCAAAAAGCCAGAGACGCUCGAUGAGGAUCCGCCCAUCGAUGCGGAGAUGGAACAGCUUGAGCUCGAUUUCAGUGUCCGCGCUCGCACCCUGCCGCCUCCCUCGAAGCCGCCGCGCAUCCCCCAGCUCCAGCUGGAGCAGGAGGAGGAGGAGCAGCAGCAGCAGGCCGAAAAGGAGCAGCAGCAGCAGCAGAAACAGAGGGAACUGGAAAUGGAGAGGGAACGGGAACGGGAAAGAGAGAAGCAAAAGGAUAGGGAGACGACGGAGAGCGACAAGGAUGAGUGGGCGUCGAAGCUUUACGGAGGCCUGGAGAUCGGCACCAGCGAUUCCCUCAAGCGCCGCAGCUGGGAAUCGCGUGUACCGCUCCCAGCCAGCGUGGAUGAGACACCGCCACCGCUCCCCCCUCCGUCCGUGUCCUCGUCCAGUUCCUCGGACAGCGAUGAGGAGGAGGAGGAGGAGCCAGUGCCACUGCCACUGCCAAAACCAAAACCAAAGGCACCCAAGGCAGCAGCUCCCCCCAUUCCGGUUCGUGCUGCAGCUGCAGCUCCAGAGUCAGUCCUAGUCCCAGUCCCAGUCCCAGUCCCAUCUGUGUCCACUGUGACCUCUUCUUCGCUCUUCUCCCCCGACGUGGAGCAGCGCAACUUUGACGAGUUCAACGCGAGCUUCGCCAAGUUCGAGCAGCGCAACAGCACGGCCAUCUUUGCGGAUGAGCCGGAGCUGGAGGAUCUGGACGUGGAAGUGGUGAAGCCCACGCCUACGGCACGGCCAAAACCGCAGCCUCGUUCUCUGGUGGAUCUCAGGGCGGAGGCGGAGCGAGCAGAGGAGGAGGCGCGUCAGCAGCGAGCCGCGGAAGACGCUCGCCUGGAGGCAGAGCUGCGGCUAAACGAGCAGCGGCUGCGCGUCGAGGAGGCAGCCCUGAGGCAGGAGCUGGAGGAGGAGCAGCGCCAGAAGGAGCUGCUGGAGGAGCAGCAGCGGCGCGAGGCCAAGCGAUGGGAGGAGGACCAGAGGCUGCUCAGCUUUGCCAAGCGAUCCACGUCCCUGGAGGAGGAGCAGCCGCAGCAACAGCAGCAGCGGCAGCGGCAGCUGGAGAUGGCGCAGGAGGAGCAGCAGCAGCAGCAGGCCGAGCCAGAACCAGAGGCAGAACUAGAACUAGAACUCGAGCCCGAGCCAGAGCCAGAGCACAAUUUCCUAACGCCCGAACAGUCGCCCAAGGAGUUCCAAACGAACGGCGGCGGCACUGGCAGCGGUAGCGGCAGCGGCAGGGAGAAGCGUCUGGGAAAGUUCAAAUACGGCAAUAAGCGAGAUAAAUACAGCAACGACAACGGAAGCAACUCGCCGAGUCCCAAGUCCACAGAGCGAAUCAUCAUUGGCCACGAGAAGUCUGGGGGAUCGCACGCGGAACGCCGCUCGGAAAUCUCAGCACAGCUGGCGAAGAAGUACGAGGGCAAGUCGCGGGAGGAGCUGAUGCUGAUUGCCAAUGGCAUGGAGAACGAGGCUCUGCUGCAGCGGCAGCGCGUCAAGGAGCUGGAGGACUAUCUGGACAAUCUGCUGCUGCGAGUGAUGGAGACGCACCCGAAGAUACUGCAGAAUCCCUACUCGCGCACCACCUCCGCCAAAAGUUAUAAAAACUACAUCAAUAUGAAUGACUUUCUAAAGUAAGUGGCCGCCGCUGUGCAUGUUGCAAGUUGCAUUUAAGUAGCACUUAACCACCACCACCACAACCACCACCACCACGACCCCCCCAAAACAACAACAACAACCAACAACAACCAACAACACAAGCAACCAGCAAACGACCCACAACAAAAGAACCAACCCACAAUGCGACACACACAGGAGAAAGCAGCAGAGGGCAGAAGUCGAAGUACCAGAAGGCAGUCGAAGGCAGUCUCAGGCAGUAACCAGAGGGAAGCGUUGGACACCCUCACACUGAUGUCCAGUCCAGUCUAGGAUGAACGGUUGAGCAGCAGCAGCAGCAGCAGCAGCAGCCUCAGCAGCAGAAACCUUUCGUCGCGUGGCAGUUCCGUGGAGGAGUUGCAGUUGCAGUUGCAUAAAUGUAAAAUGUAAAUCAAUCCGAACACCAAGUUGCCUUUUGUCGCCAAAACAGCGAAAUUCAAGUGCUUUCUUAACUCUAAUUUAAGUACUCCUCGUAUCUGAGCAGAAGGGAAACUAUAACUAAAACUAUAACUAAAUCGUACACGUAAUCACAUAGAUUUUAAGCAGGAGAAGAGACAGGCAGAGGGGGGGCAGGCGAAGAUCAAAUAUUUGUAUUUUGUUUUUAAACUGAUGAUUGAUUCGGAUUGAUUCCCUCGUCUCGCCUCGUACUCUCCGCAUGUAGCUCCAAACAUAAAACAAAAACAAAAAAACUAAACUAAAUUAUUUGUACCUACUAUACACAUACGAUCGCUGUUACGAUCGCUGGAGACAAUUGAUAAUUGGUUUUUACCCCAAAAUUGGAUUGUUUGCCCCCCAUCUAUCGGUUGAUUGAUUGAAAUUAUCCCAAAAGUAUUUUUGUUUGUUUGCCUGUUUGUUCUUUUUUUUUUAUAUAUGUCAAAUUUGUGUAACCCCCUCCCCCUUAGAGAAUUAAGCCCUAAAUUAUUUAUGUUUUAGCAAUUAAGUGAAAGCAAAGGGGAGUGGCUGCAGUUGAAUAUGUGUUGAUACAUACAAUGAUUUUACCUAUUGAUAUAUACACCCAAAACAGAAUAAAAACAUUUUAAUAUUAAUAC
RNA transcript from Drosophila obscura, 4040 nucleotides. It is a transcript of the gene named rab11 family-interacting protein 1, with no coding region annotated. The record is from RefSeq and is a predicted model, not a curated record. The transcript has 7 exons. Lineage: Eukaryota; Metazoa; Arthropoda; Insecta; Diptera; Drosophilidae.